GCGGGCCGCUAGGGGGAGAGAUCAGCACGCGGCACGGCGCCGCGCUCCUCGCGCCUUCGGCCCUCUGCGGCGGAUUGACGCUUUUCCGGAUGCGAAAUCCGAAAGCUAUGAACAGCGUGCGAGCGCCGCGUUCCCCUCCCGUCACCGUCUGAUGGUCGCCGUUCACGCCGCAUCCUUGGCCGAAUGCGAAGCAGAUGCAGGAUUAACUGCCUCCGUCUCCGUGACGACUGUCUCCGUCUCCACGCCGCCGCGUGCCUGGCGGACAGAAGGCCGCCUCGUGAAAAAUUCAAAAGUCCAGCUAGUAACUCGCAACGGUGGUGGCCUGCGGCUGAGAGGAAGCCAAAGAGAGGAGUAUGCGGGGUUAACACACGCAGAGAUGCACCUACACGACGCCGUGGAGCGACUCCUCCCACACAGAGGCACAAACAGCAUUUUCUCAUCGUUAUACUGAGCUUCAUUACAGAAUCCACUUGCGAAGAUGAAAGUUCAUAAAUGGACCCUGGAAAGGAAGUUGAAACAGAUCCAAGCCCCCGCGCCCCCAGUCUGUUUGACGUCCGUUCCAUGAAGCGCCACCUACAGGAGAUGAAAGGCAUUCUGCAUAUUUUGUUUUUAAUUGGUCCGGGUUAAAGGAAAAAUGCUCUUUUUUAUAUCCAAAAGGCACGCAGUGGGCCCACCAGGGGCACAAGGCAGGGAUCCAACGCCAAGGGAUCAGUCAGUUCAAUUUGAAUUAUUUUGCUAUAGCGCCUUUCAAAACAGAAUAACCUUACGGCACUGUACACAGGUGAGUUGUGAUACAUUACUACAUUGUUCAUAUAGAAUUAUAGAUGGAAGAGAGAAAAUGGGAAGACAGAAAGAAAGAAAGCCUGAGGGAUCUGUGCCGGAAAUCAGAAGGUUGCUGGUUUGAAUGCCUGGAGUGAUACUACCCCAUUGGGCUCUAGAGCAAGGCCCUUAAUCUUGACGUUACUCUACAUCCAGCCCUAUAAGGAGGUCGUCGAAGUUACAGGGAAAUGUGAGGAUUAGUGGCGGGAUUGACACUCCAGCCACCUGGAUAAAAAAAAGUCACGCUGGUCCAUUCGGACUAGUGUGGUGCUGAGGUGUCACCUGCCACAUGGCUGCUCUCAGGUUCUCGUCCCUGAGCUGGUUCGUCGUGUGGUGGGUGUGGCAACGCGCUGCAUCAGUGUGCGCUCCUUACCCCUCUCUCUCACUCCUCUUACAGUACUUUAAUGGGGGAACGACCAGUUUGUCAUUGUUGGCUGAAGACAACUCCUCCAGCAGAUUCGGAAGAUAAUGUUCUGCUUUUCACGAAAGCAUUUCCAGAUUACCGCAAUCAAAUCCAACUUCUAGGAAACACGUUGACCUUCUGGAAGAGCACACAGCUGUCACCUCGAACUCUUUCCAUGGCCUCUUGACCACCCUGUAUUUAAAUCAAACUAACUAAGAGAUAAUAAUCAUCAGAAAUCAUCAACUAUGAAUAAAAAUCAUCAACUAUGAAUAAAACAGCCAUCUUAGAUGCAAUACAUCCUA
Paramormyrops kingsleyae is the source of this 1524-nucleotide long non-coding RNA. RefSeq lists it as uncharacterized. NCBI's taxonomy places the organism in Eukaryota, Metazoa, Chordata, Actinopteri, Osteoglossiformes, Mormyridae. The record is from RefSeq and is a predicted model, not a curated record.